Molecule: ribosomal RNA, 455 nt
Filed under: uncultured bacterium
Lineage: Bacteria
Description: bacterial SSU rRNA
Rfam family: Bacterial small subunit ribosomal RNA
Source: RNAcentral
AUUGAACGCUGGCGGAAUGCUUUACACAUGCAAGUCGAACGGUAGAGGGGGCAACCCCUCGAGAGUGGCGAACGGGUGAGUAAUGCAUCGGAACGUGCCCGGUCGUGGGGGAUAACGCAGCGAAAGCUGCGCUAAUACCGCAUACGAUCUGAGGAUGAAAGCGGGGGACCGUAAGGCCUCGCGCGAUUGGAGCGGCCGAUGUCAGAUUAGGUAGUUGGUGGGGUAAUGGCCUACCAAGCCGACGAUCCAUAGCUGGUUUGAGAGGAUGAUCAGCCACACUGGGACUGAGACACGGCCCAGACUCCUACGGGAGGCAGCAGUGGGGAAUCUUAGACAAUGGGGGAAACCCUGAUCUAGCCAUGCCGCGUGAUCGAUGAAGGCCUUAGGGUUGUAAAGAUCUUUCAGUUGGGAAGAUAAUGACGGUACCAACAGAAGAAGCCCCGGCUAACUCCGUG